ACGUGAGCUCUUCCUAUCUCGAACCUCAUCCCUCCUAGAAAGGUUCUCGGAUUUUCCACCCAAUAAAAGAGAUCAUUUUCUGUAGUCUCAUAGCACCCGUAUAAUACUUCAGUGUGACACCGAGGACAUUGCUGCAGUGGUUCCUUUACCUGUUUUCUUCUCUUGCAUGAGAUGCUUUCAGUCCACCAAACACUCACAGGAUCCUUCUACGGGCCUGGCUUUGUGCUAGUGCAUGGGUUAUAGGGAUGGAUAAGGUGCAGUUCCCGCCUUCAGGAGGCUCACAGUCAAGGAGGGACAGACAGGUAUGGUACAGAAUUGUCCUGAGUAGAGAAAGGAGAUUCAUAUGAAAAAUACAGAGGAGAGGAUUCUUGUCCUUAACUGAGGAGAUAGGGAACAAGGAAAUGACCACAGAAGGUAGACUAUAAUUCCGGAGUCUAGCUCAGUGUGUGCAAGGGAGUAGGUACUUAUCUAUACUACAAAAAUGAAUUUUCUACUUCAUAGUCAUUAAGCACUUUUUAGGUGGCAAGCUUC
Non-coding RNA from Vicugna pacos (alpaca), 531 nucleotides. The record is from RefSeq and is a predicted model, not a curated record. NCBI's taxonomy places the organism in Eukaryota, Metazoa, Chordata, Mammalia, Artiodactyla, Camelidae.